Molecule: microRNA precursor, 100 nt
Organism: Arabidopsis thaliana (thale cress)
Lineage: Eukaryota; Viridiplantae; Streptophyta; Magnoliopsida; Brassicales; Brassicaceae
Rfam family: mir-395 microRNA precursor family
About the family: mir-395 was identified in both Arabidopsis thaliana and Oryza sativa computationally and was later experimentally verified. mir-395 is thought to target mRNAs coding for ATP sulphurylases. The mature sequence is excised from the 3' arm of the hairpin.
Source: Rfam
AUGUCCUCUAGAGUUCUCCUGAACACUUCAUUGGAAAUUUGUUAUUCAGUAAGCUAACAGUUAAUUCCACUGAAGUGUUUGGGGGAACUCCCGAUGUCAU